CACGUACUGUGCGAACGUUAUUCGGAAUCAUUGGGCUUAAAGGGUGCGUAGGCGGCAAUUCAAGUCAGGUGCGAAAUGCCUGAGCUCAACUGAGGCAUUGCGCUUGAAACUGAACUGCUUGAGUAUCCCAGGGGUGUGCGGAACUGCCAGUGGAGCGGUGAAAUGUGUUGAUAUUGGCAGGAACACCGGAGGCGAAAGCGGCACACUGGGGGAUAACUGACGCUGAGGCACGAAAGCCAGGGGAGCGAACGGG
Molecule: ribosomal RNA, 253 nt
Filed under: uncultured bacterium
Lineage: Bacteria
Description: partial 16S ribosomal RNA
Rfam family: Bacterial small subunit ribosomal RNA
Source: RNAcentral